GGCGUGGAGGGCCCGAGCGAUUCUUUGCACCCUUGCGUGGCUGCGCCGGAAGGAGGUGCUAAUUUUCAGGACCUGCCACUUCCAGUUUAAAUCUCAAGGAAGCCUUGAGCUACACUGCCUAAUAGGAUCAUUUAUGUUGGGUGCUUUGGGCCAUGCCAUAUCUGUACUAGAUCCAGAGGAACUAGAUACUAAAGAUCCAGUCUGGACACCAAGGCUAGUGGGAUAACAGCUAUCGUGUUUUGAAGACAGUCAUUUAGCCCUCCAGAGAGGUCCAUGUGGCAAGGAGCAGAGUUCCUCCUGCCAAAAGCCAACAGGAACUUGUCUGCCAUCCAAGGUGGCAUUCAAACCAUCUUGGAAGGGAAUCUUCCAGCUACAGUCUGGAGCCUGUGGUCCAGAUGACUGCAGCCUCCGCUUAUAUCUUGACUUCAACCUCCUGAGAGACCUUGAGUCAUAACCACCCAGCUAAGUCAGUUCUGGAAUCCUGAUCACAGAAACUGAAUGAGAUAGUAAAUGUUCAUUGAUUUAAGCUGUUCAGUUUGGGGAUAAUUUGUUAUACAACAGUAAGUAAUAAAGGAGAGCUCCACAGUGAAGUUUAUGAAGCUACCAUAACCUUAAGGACAAAAUCUGAUGAAGGUAAACCCAAAAGAGAAAAUCAUAGGAUGAUUUUAUGUAUGAAUAGUAGAGAUUUUAAAAAUCCAUGUAAAGUGUUAAAAUUUAUCCAGGCAUUAUUUAAGAUAAUAAUACAACACGACCAAAUAAGAUUUGGCCUAGGACUGGAAGUAUGGAUUAACAUUAGAAAAUCUGCAUGUACUUUAUUGCAACAGGUUAAAGGAGAAAAAGCACAUUAUUUCAUCAGAUGCCAAAAAUUCAUAAAUGAUUCCUAAUAAAAACUCUUAAAGUAGAAUUAAAAGGAAAGUACAUCAAUACAAUAAAGGCUAUUUGCGUGUGCGUGUGCACGCACGCAUGCACUCACUCACGCAAGUAUUAUUAUAAAUCGUGACCUACCAAAGCUAUUUCCAUGAAAAGAAGAAAAACAACUGGUGACAUCUAAUAGCAUGUCUAAUAUGGAAUACUUUGUGAUUUUAGUUAACACAACAACAUGAUAAAAGAUUCAGAGAAAUUGCUAUUAGAAACGAUAUCAAAUAUUUUUAUUUGUUAAUGAUAGUAUUAUAUGCAAUGAAAAUCAAGAUAGUCCAUUAAAUAUUGAUUAGCAUUAACAGAAUUUAGUAAUUAGCUAGAUACAAAAUGCAUGUAAACAAUCACUCAACCCCCCUCCCCCACAGAAUUUCAGAUAGUGCUUUGGUCUGAUGCCUAGUGUCCACACAGAUUAGAAGGCACAAUCCUAUGAAAAUCAGCAUUAUAUUUUUUGUAAGAACGUAUACGGCUUAGUUCUGUGUCACACAGUAACCCCUUUUGUUGUAUCAUUUUUUACUACAUUUAAUUUAUUUUUAAUUUUAUGAGUAAGCCAUCAGUUCCAAAAAAUUGUCAGCCAUGAUCAUUUAAAUCUCACAUCUGCAUCAUUUUAUGUUUGUCCUACUACUAUGAUUAGAUGCCUGCCAGACAAUUUUACUAACAAUUCUGGUCUCUUAAACUCACCUUUACAUUCCUCUCUGAAUUUUGGAUAAUUCCUUGACAGGUAGUUAUAUAAUUCAUGAAAAUUCUUCACCUUGGUUCAAUUGUCUAUCAAACUCAUCCAGUAAGCUUUUAAUUUUAAUUCAUUUAUAAUUAUAUAAUUUGUUAUAUAUAAAAUUAUAUAUAACUUUACACAUGUUUAUAUUUAUGUUGUAUAUAAUUAUAGACAUUUAUAUAUAUAAUUUGCUAUAGAAUAAUAUUUGUUUUCAGAAAACAAAUAGAAAUUCUGGAAAUAAGUAUAUUUUGAGAAUUUCUAUUCGUUUUUUUCAAAUCUAUGUGAUCAUUCUUUGUAUUCUCUUAGUCCCUUGGAUAUUUCACAGUUUUUUUGUGUUUUUUUUUUUAAAUAUUAAAGUUAGUCACUUGAAGUAUGUAUCUGUUAAUUCGUGCUUUUGUUUUCAUUGUCGAUGGCUCUUGGUCAUGGUGUCUUGUUUCAUGGUGUGUUUGGUUAAUCUUGGUGGUGAAGCUGUUCAUUCAUUUUCUUGGAUAUUUAUCUGUGAUUUAUCGAGACCUAAAAUGAAGCUUAUU
Long non-coding RNA from Hippopotamus amphibius kiboko, 2157 nucleotides. RefSeq lists it as uncharacterized. The record is from RefSeq and is a predicted model, not a curated record. The transcript is spliced from 3 exons. Lineage: Eukaryota; Metazoa; Chordata; Mammalia; Artiodactyla; Hippopotamidae.